AACCCAGCACCUCGAGUGGUCAGGAGGUUUAUUGGGCCUAGAGCAUCCGUAGCCGGUUGCAUAAGUUUUCGGUUAAAUCUAUGCGCUUAACGUAUAGGCCGCCGAAAAUACUGUGCAGCUAGGGAGUGGGAGGGGUACACGGUACUCGAUAGGAAGGGGUAAAAUCCUUUGAUCUAUUGAUGACCACCUGUGGCGAAGGCGGUGUACCAGAACACGUUCGACGGUGAGGGAUGAAAGCUGGGGGAGCAAACCGGAUUAGAUA
RNAcentral lists this ribosomal RNA (262 nucleotides) under uncultured bacterium. RNAcentral's name for it is "partial 16S ribosomal RNA". It matches the Rfam family "Archaeal small subunit ribosomal RNA", at positions 473 to 735 of the family's 1478-position model. The record is from RNAcentral.